Molecule: ribosomal RNA, 653 nt
Filed under: Escherichia coli
Lineage: Bacteria; Pseudomonadati; Pseudomonadota; Gammaproteobacteria; Enterobacterales; Enterobacteriaceae
Description: partial 23S ribosomal RNA
Rfam family: Bacterial large subunit ribosomal RNA
Source: RNAcentral
GGCGGUCUCCUCCUAAAGAGUAACGGAGGAGCACGAAGGUUGGCUAAUCCUGGUCGGACAUCAGGAGGUUAGUGCAAUGGCAUAAGCCAGCUUGACUGCGAGCGUGACGGCGCGAGCAGGUGCGAAAGCAGGUCAUAGUGAUCCGGUGGUUCUGAAUGGAAGGGCCAUCGCUCAACGGAUAAAAGGUACUCCGGGGAUAACAGGCUGAUACCGCCCAAGAGUUCAUAUCGACGGCGGUGUUUGGCACCUCGAUGUCGGCUCAUCACAUCCUGGGGCUGAAGUAGGUCCCAAGGGUAUGGCUGUUCGCCAUUUAAAGUGGUACGCGAGCUGGGUUUAGAACGUCGUGAGACAGUUCGGUCCCUAUCUGCCGUGGGCGCUGGAGAACUGAGGGGGGCUGCUCCUAGUACGAGAGGACCGGAGUGGACGCAUCACUGGUGUUCGGGUUGUCAUGCCAAUGGCACUGCCCGGUAGCUAAAUUCGGAAGAGAUAAGUGCUGAAAGCAUCUAAGCACGAAACUUGCCCCGAGAUGAGUUCUCCCUGACUCCUUGAGAGUCCUGAAGGAACGUUGAAGACGACGACGUUGAUAGGCCGGGUGUGUAAGCGCAGCGAUGCGUUGAGCUAACCGGUACUAAUGAACCGUGAGGCUUAACCUU